This 448-nucleotide ribosomal RNA is filed under the name uncultured bacterium. RNAcentral's name for it is "bacterial LSU rRNA". It matches the Rfam family "Bacterial large subunit ribosomal RNA", at positions 1953 to 2409 of the family's 2925-position model. The record is from RNAcentral.
AAGGUAGCGAAAUUCCUUGUCGGGUAAGUUCCGACCUGCACGAAUGGUGUAAUGAUCCGGACGCUGUCUCAACCAUGAGCUCAGUGAAAUUGUAGUAUCGGUGAAGAUGCCGAUUACCCGCGAUGGGACGAAAAGACCCCGUGAACCUUUACUACAGCUUAGCAUUGACCUUGGUCAUCCGAUGUGUAGGAUAGGCCGGAGGCUUUGAAGCGGGAGCGCCAGCUUUCGUGGAGCCAUCCUUGAAAUACGGCCCUUUGGCUGUCUGAGGUCUAACGCGCGCUGCGCGGACACUGCUUGGUGGGUAGUUUGACUGGGGUGGUCGCCUCCAAAAGCGUAACGGAGGCUUCCAAAGGUGCCCUCGGGUCGAUUGGUAACCGACCUCAAAGAGUGCAAUGGCAUAAGGGCGCUUGACUGGGAGGCAGACAUGCCGAGCAGGCAGGAAACUGGG